This is a long non-coding RNA of Rhipicephalus sanguineus (brown dog tick), 275 nucleotides long. RefSeq lists it as uncharacterized. NCBI's taxonomy places the organism in Eukaryota, Metazoa, Arthropoda, Arachnida, Ixodida, Ixodidae. The record is from RefSeq and is a predicted model, not a curated record. The transcript has 3 exons.
UUUUUUCUAUCGCAGAUACGCCAUCGUGAUGUUCCUCGUCAUCGGUACCUUCUUGUGGGCCUGUCUGACGUUGGCGAAUUCACAAGAUCCUGAGUGUUCGCCCAUCAACUGUUUACCAGGAUGGAGAGGUGGAUGCUUGAUCAGCGCAAACAAUUGUCAGUGCUUGUGUGUGAAAAACCAGAAUCCUUGCCAAUUUAUCGCUCAGAACUUCCAAAGCAGCUGCUCAUCUAAUCAGUUUAUCGAUUGCAACCCAGAUGUAUCUCCGUGCUUGUGUC